CCUAGAAAUACAGCAAAGCUUCAAGAGUAUUUUAUAUAUAUAUAUAUAAAUAUUUUUAAAAUUAUUUAAAUAUAAUAUAUAUGUUAAGAAAUAUAUAUACAUAUAUAUACAUAUGUACACAUAUAGACAUAUAUACAUAUAUAUACACAUAUAUAUACAUAUACAUACAUAUAUAUAUACACACACACAAAUGUGUAUAUAUAUAUACACACACAUAUUUAUAUAUAUAUAUACACACACACACAUAUAUAUACACACACACACAUAUAUAUACACACACAUAUUUAUAUACACACACACACAUAUAUAUACACACACACAUAUUUAUAUAUACACACACACAUAUUUAUAUACACACACACACACACACACAUAUAUAUAUAUACACACACAUGUUUAUAUAUAUAUAUACACACACACACAUAUAUAUAUAUACACACACAUAUUUAUAUACACACACACACACAUAUAUAUAUAUACACACACAUGUUUAUAUAUAUAUACACACACACAUAUAUAUAUAUACACACACAUGUUUAUAUAUAUAUACACACACAUAUAUAUAUACACACACAUAUUUAUAUACACACACACACACACACAUAUAUAUAUAUAUAUAUACACGGACAUAUUUAUAUAUAUACACACACACACACACAUAUAUAUACACACACACAUAUUUAUAUAUACACACACACACACACACACACAUAUAUAUAUAUACACACACACACAUAUUUAUGUAUCUAUACAUAAAAUAUCCCAUUUCCCCACGGCUGCCCCCCGCAGCAGCAGCCGCAGCCCGGGCUGCAGGCGGGCCCCGGCCCGGCCCCUCGUCCCUCACGUUGUCCAGGAGCUGCUCCCGCUCCUGCUGCACCUCGGGGCUCCAGGCGCUCAUGUCCUGCCGGCUCCGCUGCGUCACCGUCAGCACCGUCAGCCUGCGGGGCCCCGGCGCGGGGAACAGCGCCUGCAGCUCUGCAACGGACAAAGGUAUUGCUGCAGCGCUGCAACAUGGCACAGG
Molecule: long non-coding RNA, 1021 nt
Filed under: Chloebia gouldiae (Gouldian finch)
Lineage: Eukaryota; Metazoa; Chordata; Aves; Passeriformes; Passeridae
Description: Erythrura gouldiae (Gouldian finch) lncRNA (ENSEGOG00005018313.1)
Source: RNAcentral